RNAcentral lists this ribosomal RNA (449 nucleotides) under uncultured bacterium. RNAcentral describes it as "partial 16S ribosomal RNA". It matches the Rfam family "Bacterial small subunit ribosomal RNA", at positions 29 to 523 of the family's 1533-position model. The record is from RNAcentral.
AACGAACGCUGGCGGCAUGCCUAACACAUGCAAGUCGAACGAGAUCUUCGGGUCUAGUGGCGCACGGGUGCGUAACGCGUGGGAAUCUGCCCUUUGGUUCGGAAUAACAGUUGGAAACGACUGCUAAUACCGGAUGAUGACGAAAGUCCAAAGAUUUAUCGCCAGAGGAUGAGCCCGCGUAGGAUUAGCUAGUUGGUGUGGUAAAGGCGCACCAAGGCGACGAUCCUUAGCUGGUCUGAGAGGAUGAUCAGCCACACUGGGACUGAGACACGGCGCAGACUCCUACGGGAGGCAGCAGUGGGGAAUAUUGGACAAUGGGCGAAAGCCUGAUCCAGCAAUGCCGCGUGAGUGAUGAAGGCCUUAGGGUUGUAAAGCUCUUUUACCCGGGAUGAUAAUGACAGUACCGGGAGAAUAAGCUCCGGCUAACUCCGUGCCAGCAGCCGCGGUAA